Long non-coding RNA from Coregonus clupeaformis (lake whitefish), 887 nucleotides. RefSeq lists it as uncharacterized. The record is from RefSeq and is a predicted model, not a curated record. NCBI's taxonomy places the organism in Eukaryota, Metazoa, Chordata, Actinopteri, Salmoniformes, Salmonidae. The transcript is spliced from 3 exons.
CUGCUAUGGUGGGUUUCAAAUGAAUUGGUAUUCACAUGUUUGUUUUUGAGGUAGAAUUACUGUCAUGUUAUUGAUGCCAAAUUGCAAACCUUAUUUGCACCUUCUCUAUUCCAGAACCAAUGGGUGUGCCUGAGUCUUAUCACCUCUUAACUAGAUGCAGACCAGAAGACAUUCAAGCAGCACUUUGAGAGCAAGCAUCCCAAGUCUCCAAUGGUCCCAGUACUGGGUGAUGUGAAGGCCUAAAUGACCACAUACACUCAAAUGGACCUACAGCUGUGAAACACGAUGACCAUGAUUUGAAUGCUGCAACAGACGGAAUAACGUAGAGGGACACGCUUGGACCCCAAGUAUGACUGGACAUGGGCCGGAUAUUUGUGACAACGACCUAAAAGGGGUGCAGAAGCACACCAGCACCCCAUUUUAUGUUUAUUCCAUGGCCAACCAUCUCUCUAGCUACCCCUUAUUCCACACUAUGCAUUUUAUGCCCCAUGGUCUCUCAACUUCGGACACUUUGGAACUCUCCAUCUUAUCUCUAUAAACCCACCUUACCUUCACCCAUUUUCCCUAUGCUGCUUCCUUCACUUGUUCUUCUCCUGAUUUGAUAACAUCUAGACUCAUUAACACAUUUAAAAGUGUUGUGGUGUACUGUUUUUGCUACCUUUUUUCCACCUGUGUAAUGCUGUUCUCCUGCUUAUUCUGGGGUUCAGACUGAAUGCUGUGGUAAAUGUGCUGCUCACAAUUGAUAGCAGCAACAUGGACCUGUUAAAUGGACAAGAAAGCUGUUGAUAUAGCUGCGUUUAGGCAUGGCUUCCCUGUUUUGAGUAUGUUGUGUGUUUCUCAUUCUGCUGGAGUUGACCUAGUAUUUUAUAUAAAACCUACCUUACACA